UCAGGACGAACGCUGGCGGCGCGCCUAACACAUGCAAGUCGAACGGAGCUUGCACUUCUGAAGUUUUCGGAUGGACGAGGUACAAGCUUAGUGGCGAACGGGUGAGUAACACGUGAAGAACCUGCCCUUCAGUGGGGGACAACAGUUGGAAACGACUGCUAAUACCGCAUAAGACCACAGUACCGCAUGGUACAGUGAUCAAAGGAUUUAUUCGCUGAAGGAUGGCUUCGCGUCCGAUUAGGUAGUUGGUGAGGUAACGGCCCACCAAGCCUACGAUCGGUAGCCGGACUGAGAGGUUGAUCGGCCACAUUGGGACUGAGACACGGCCCAGACUCCUACGGGAGGCAGCAGUGGGGAAUAUUGCACAAUGGAGGAAACUCUGAUGCCAGCGACGCCGCGUGAGGGAAGAAGGUCUUCGGAUUGUAAACCUCUGUCUUCAGGGACGAUAAUGACGGUACCUGAGGAGGAAGCACCGGCUAACUACGUGCCAGCCGCAGC
This 498-nucleotide ribosomal RNA is filed under the name uncultured bacterium. RNAcentral describes it as "bacterial SSU rRNA". It matches the Rfam family "Bacterial small subunit ribosomal RNA", at positions 24 to 518 of the family's 1533-position model. The record is from RNAcentral.